This 374-nucleotide unclassified non-coding RNA is filed under the name soil metagenome. RNAcentral describes it as "partial contains internal transcribed spacer 2 and large subunit ribosomal RNA". The stretch from base 1 to 120 matches the Rfam family "5.8S ribosomal RNA", at positions 35 to 154 of the family's 154-position model. The record is from RNAcentral.
GAUGAAGAACGUAGCGAAAUGCGAUAAUUAAUGUGAAUUGCAGAAUUCCGUGAAUCAUCGAGUCUUUGAACGCACAUUGCGCCUCAUGGCAUUCCGUGAGGCAUGCCCAUCUCAGCGUUAGAAAAUAUUCUCAAAUUUUAGUUUUGUGCUAAAAUUUGGAUCAUGUCAAGGAAGCUAUUACUAUUAUUGUGAUUGCUCUUUGGAAAUUGAUAGGUCUUUGAGUUGCUACUCAUAGAACGUGAUGAAUCUUUCUUCGUUCUAUUGUAAUUCACUCUGGUAGUCCUAAAAGUUGUAUGCCUGUAGCAUAUCUUGUAAUUUGACCUGAGAUUGGGUAGGGAUACCCGCUGAACUUAAGCAUAUCAAUAAGCGGAGGA